AUUAGACGAAUCAUCUGGAAAGAUGAAUCAAAGAAGGUAAUAAUCCUGUAGUCGAAAAUGUUGUCUCUCUUGAGUGGAUCCUGAGUACGACGGAGCACGUGAAAUUCCGUCGGAAUCUGGGAGGACCAUCUCCUAAGGCUAAAUACUCUCUAGUGACCGAUAGUGAACCAGUACCGUGAGGGAAAGGUGAAAAGCACCCCGGAAGGGGAGUGAAAUAGAACCUGAAACCGUGUGCUUACAAGUAGUCAGAGCCCGUUAAUGGGUGAUGGCGUGCCUUUUGUAGAAUGAACCGGCGAGUUACGAUUUGAUGCAAGGUUAAGCAGUAAAUGUGGAGCCGUAGCGAAAGCGAGUCUGAAUAGGGCGUUUAGUAUUUGGUCGUAGACCCGAAACCAGGUGAUCUACCCUUGGUCAGGUUGAAGUUCAGGUAACACUGAAUGGAGGACCGAACCGACUUACGUUGAAAAGUGAGCGGAUGAACUGAGGGUAGCGGAGAAAUUCCAAUCGAACCUGGAGAUAGCUGGUUCUCUCCGAAAUAGCUUUAGGGCUAGCCUCAAGUGAUGAUUAUUGGAGGUAGAGCACUGUUUGGACGAGGGGCCCCUCUCGGGUUACCGAAUUCAGACAAACUCCGAAUGCCAAUUAAUUUAACUUGGGAGUCAGAACAUGGGUGAUAAGGUCCGUGUUCGAAAGGGAAACAGCCCAGACCACCAGCUAAGGUCCCAAAAUAUAUGUUAAGUGGAAAAGGAUGUGGCGUUGCCCAGACAACUAGGAUGUUGGCUUAGAAGCAGCCAUCAUUUAAAGAGUGCGUAAUAGCUCACUAGUCGAGUGACACUGCGCCGAAAAUGUACCGGGGCUAAACAUAUUACCGAAGCUGUGGAUUGUCCUUUGGACAAUGGUAGGAGAGCGUUCUAAGGGCGUUGAAGCAUGAUCGUAAGGACAUGUGGAGCGCUUAGAAGUGAGAAUGCCGGUGUGAGUAGCGAAAGACGGGUGAGAAUCCCGUCCACCGAUUGACUAAGGUUUCCAGAGGAAGGCUCGUCCGCUCUGGGUUAGUCGGGUCCUAAGCUGAGGCCGACAGGCGUAGGCGAUGGAUAACAGGUUGAUAUUCCUGUACCACCUAUAAUCGUUUUAAUCGAUGGGGGGACGCAGUAGGAUAG
This 1151-nucleotide ribosomal RNA is filed under the name Staphylococcus aureus. RNAcentral describes it as "partial 23S ribosomal RNA". It matches the Rfam family "Bacterial large subunit ribosomal RNA", at positions 328 to 1485 of the family's 2925-position model. Lineage: Bacteria; Bacillati; Bacillota; Bacilli; Caryophanales; Staphylococcaceae. The record is from RNAcentral.